GGAGCGUGGGAAGACUCCAGAAUCCACUCUGGCUGGAAUCCGGUGGAUACAGCAGUGUUACAGAACAGUUCUCCACAGUCACUGUCCACAUGGGUCAGUGGGACCAAGCAGCACUCUGCUAAUGUGUGGACUCUGACCAGCAACAUCCAGCAAGACCCAAGCAGCGUUUUCUAUCUCCCAGCUGGAGUUUUUUGUUUGUCUGUGACUGGAGAGUCAGAUUUUUGUUGAAGCUGGAGGAACAGAGAGUGACUGCUGCUUAUACCACAGGUUAAUACAUGCUACUGAUCCCUGAUGGGAGCAUCUUCACCUCUGCCAACAAAGAAGCCUGGUGGAUAUUUGUUUACAGUCUGAUGAUGGGACAUCAUGCUCUGCAUCUUCAAAGUUUGUCUCUUGAUUAUUAUUCAUACACAGUAAUGUGAAUUAUGCUUAUAUCUAGUAUAACUGGACCAACCUGGUGCUCUUCAUUUAUGGAGGCUGUUGAGUCUGAAUGUUGGAUGCUGUGUAUCUCGUGUUCUCUGGGCUUUGUUGUCCUCAGUCUUUUUGCAGGAUCAGAAAACAAAACCAGGAUGACCAUAAAUGUUUCUUCUCCAAUUGGAUGAUGAUAAGACUGUGACACGGGAUGCCACCUUUAGUCUUGUGAUGAAGCAAAGCUCAGGAAGAAGUGUGAUUAAAUGGUACCCACAUGUGUGCUGCUGAGAAGGAUGUACAGGGGCACCUGCAGCCAAAUCCAAGCCUCCUCAGCAACUUCAGGUCUGUCAGCGUGCUGAGGUCACAGAAACAAGAAAAGCAGCUUCAGACUUCAGAGUGUUGUUUACAGUUUUCUGACAUCAUGAUCUCCCCUGAAGUUUAUCACUAUUAUACAAGCAAGCAGAGCGGCAGUUUGUGCUCACAGAUGGUGACGGUGUGGAGAGACGGUGGUGUUUCCUCAGAAGAACUAGCAGAGUCACAAAGGGCACGAGUCCAUCUCACCACCUUGACUUGUUGAUCAGUGGAUACAAUUGUCUCCCCUUUAAAGGAGAUACUCUUAGAGAGAGACGAUCCGAGUCAUCCUUAAAUAUGGGCAGGAUAUCACUAUUAGACUGUCUAACCUGCAGGAGCAGCACUGAAUGAUCACCACACAUGAUCAGUUCCUGCAACAUUCAGCAGCUCUGCUUUUGUGUCAAAUGUCUAACAGCUGGAGAGGAAACUACACCAGUGUACUGGGAUGUUUCACCAACACGUGCCAGACGCAUGGUGACAUCACCAGAGACGGCCCCGCCCACCUCAGGACCUCGCCAUUGAUCAUGAUGAUUUUAAUGAUGACAGCGAGCGGAACUAAGACUGUAAAAAUCAGAAUGUUUAGAUGCUUUCUAAUUAUUCAUGAAUACUGAGAGCCUCUUUCUGUGUUUUGUCUGUUUUGUUUUUUUUUACCUCAUUUGUUACUAACAAAGUUCACCAAACUCACACAGUUUACAGUCUGUAUGUUUCCAUCUUUACCAGCCACACUCUACCCGCAAUUAAGCAAAUAAUCCUUAGAAAUUGUCGUUUUUCUCUUUUGUAAUUUUGUAAUUCAGUGAAUAUACUGCGCUGCUUCCU
Oreochromis aureus is the source of this 1575-nucleotide long non-coding RNA. RefSeq lists it as uncharacterized. The record is from RefSeq and is a predicted model, not a curated record. NCBI's taxonomy places the organism in Eukaryota, Metazoa, Chordata, Actinopteri, Cichliformes, Cichlidae. The transcript is spliced from 7 exons.